RNAcentral lists this ribosomal RNA (940 nucleotides) under uncultured bacterium. RNAcentral describes it as "bacterial SSU rRNA". It matches the Rfam family "Bacterial small subunit ribosomal RNA", at positions 28 to 1015 of the family's 1533-position model. The record is from RNAcentral.
AACGUACGCUGGCGGCACGCCUAACACAUGCAAGUCGAGCGAGGUAGCAAUACCUAGCGGCAGACGGGUGCGUAACAUGUGGGAAUCUGCCUUUUGGUUCGGAACAACACGGGGAAACCUGUGCUAAUACCGGAUAAGUCCUUACGGAGAAAGUUUUAAUGCCAAAAGAUGAGCCCGCAUUUGAUUAGCUAGUUGGUGAGGUAAAAGCUCACCAAGGCGAUAAUCAAUAGCUGAUUUGAGAGGAUGAUCAGCCACACUGGGACUGAGAUACGGCCCAGACUCCUACGGGAGGCAGCAGUGGGGAAUCUUGCACAAUGGGCGAAAGCCUGAUGCAGCGAUGCCGCGUGAGUGAAGAAGGCCUUUGGGUUGUAAAGCUCUUUUGUCGGGAAAGAUAAUGACUGUACCCGAAGAAUAAGGUCCGGCUAACUUCGUGCCAGCAGCCGCGGUAAUACGAAGGGACCUAGCGUAGUUCGGAAUUACUGGGCGUAAAGAGUAUGUAGGCGGCUAGAUAAGUUAAUUGUGAAAGCCCAAAGCUUAACUUUGGAAUUGCAAUUAAAACUAUUUAGCUGGAGUAUGAUAGAGGAAAGCGGAAUACAUAGUGUAGAGGUGAAAUUCGUAGGUAUUAUGUAGAACACCAGUUGCGAAGGCGGCUUUCUGGAUCAUUACUGACGCUGAGAUACGAAAGUAUGGGUAGCGAAGAGGAUUAGAUACCCUCGUAGUCCAUACCAUAAACGAUGAUUAUUAGAUGUGGGGAAUUAUUUCUCUGUAUCAUAGCUAACGCGUUAAAUAAUCCGCCUGGGGAGUACGACCGCAAGGUUAAAACUCAAAUGAAUUGACGGGGACCCGCACAAGCGGUGGAGCAUGUGGUUUAAUUCGAAGCAACGCGCAGAACCUUACCAACCCUUGACAUGUUCGUCGCGAGACUAAGAAAUUAGUCUCU